CCUAGUUGAUCCUGCCAGUAGUCAUAUGCUUGUCUUAAAGAUUAAGCCAUGCAUGUGUAAGUAUAAACUAAUUCAAACUGUGAAACUGUGAAUGGCUUAUUAAAUCAGUUAUAGUUUGUUUGAUGGUAUCUAUUACUCGGAUAACCAUAGUAAUUCUAGAGCUAAAAUGUGAUACAAACCCUAACAUUUUGAGGGGAUAUAUUUAUUUGAUAAAAGGUCAAUGUAAGUUUUGCCCACUGCUCUGAUGAUUAAUGAUAACUAGACAGAUCGUACAGCCAUUGUGUCGGUGAAUCAUUAUUCAAAUUUCUGCCCUUUGAACUUUCAAUGGUAGGAUAGUGGCCUACUAUAAUGGUGACGUGUGAAGGAGACUUAGAGUUCAAUUUUGAAGAGGGAGCCUGAGAAAUGGCUACCACAUCCUAGAAAGGUAGCAGGGGCACAAAUUACCCAAUCCUGACAUGGGAGGUAGUGACAAUAAAUAAUAAUAUUGGGCUUUAUGAGUCUAGUAAUUGGAAUGAGUACAAUCUAAAUCCCUUAAUAAAGAUCCAUUGGAGGAUAAGUCUCGUGCUAGCAGCCACAGUAAUUCUAACUCCAAUAGCGUAUAUCUAAGUUGAUAUAGUUAAAAAGCUCAUAAUUGGAACAAAGGUCGUGUUGUCUGGUCCACCUCAUAAUAAGCAUCGAUCUACUCAUUCCUACUAUCGGUGAUAUGCUCCUAACCUUAAUUGGUUGAGUCGUUCCUUUGACAUUAUUACUUUGAAGAAAUUAAAGUGCUUAAAGCAAGCCUAUGCUUGUAUACACUAGCAUGGGAUAACACCAUAGGAUUUUGAUCAUAUUAUGUUAGGCUUCGAGAUUGGAGUAAUGAUUAAUAGGGACUGUAAGGGGCAUUCAUAUUUCAUAGUCAGAGGUGAAAUUCUUGGAAUUAUGAAAAAUGAAAAAUUGUGAAAGCAUUUGCCAAGGAUGUUUUCAUUAAUCAAGAAUGAAAGUUGGGGGCUCAAAGACAAUCAAAUACCACCAUAAACGAUGUCGAUGAGGGAUCAGUAGAUGUUACUUUCAAGACUCCGCUGGCACCUUAUGAGAAAUCAAAGUCUUUGGGUUCGAAGGAGAGUAUGGUCACAAGGUUGAAACUUAAAGGAAUUGACAGAAGGGCACCACCAGGAAUGGAACUUGCAACUUAAUUUGACUUAACAUAGAAAACUUACUAGGUCUAGACAUAAAAGAAUUAACAAAUUAAGAGCUCUUUCUUGACUCUAUCGGUGGUGGUACAUGGCCAUUUUUAGUUGGUGGAAUGAUUUGUUUGAUUAAUUCCAUUAAUGAACAAGACCUUAACAUGCUAACUAGCUAUAAGAGAUGAUCCUUUGUGGCUAGCUUGUUAGAAGGACUAUGGCCAUUCAGGCUAAGUAAGUUUAAGGUAAUAACAGGUUGUGAUGCCCAUAGAUGUUCUAGGCCACACAUAUGUUACAAUGAUGUAUUCAAUGAGUCUAUAACCUUGGCCAAUAAGCUCAAGUAAUCUUUGAAAUUUCAUUAUGAUAGGGAUAGAUCAUUGCAAUUGUUGGUCCUCAAUGAGGAAUUCCUAGUAAGCACAAGUCAUUAGCUCACGUUGACUACCUCUUUGCCUUUUACACAAUCCACUUAUUGCUCCUAUUAUUGAAUAGUCUGAUGAAGUGUUUGGAUCAUGGCAAUGUUGAUGGUUUGUAGCCCAUAACAUCGUAAGAAGUUUAUUAAACCUUAUCAUUUAGAGGAAAAAGAAGUCGUAACAAAGUUUUCAUAGGUGAACUUGUGGAAG
RNAcentral lists this ribosomal RNA (1780 nucleotides) under Durio zibethinus. RNAcentral's name for it is "SSU rRNA". It matches the Rfam family "Eukaryotic small subunit ribosomal RNA". The record is from RNAcentral. Lineage: Eukaryota; Viridiplantae; Streptophyta; Magnoliopsida; Malvales; Malvaceae.